AAAAACAUGUAAUGUCUCAUGAGGCAAACCUUACAUUAAAGAUGGAUCAAUUUAUAAUUGCACUGAAUGUGGUUAUACUUCAAAGAGAUUAAACGAUCUCCACAAACACGUUGUUCUACAUCGCGAUAAAUUUGAAACUGACUUUUUUAAAUGCACUAAAUGCGAUUACUCCACUUCUGUUAGUAACCAUUUUGCCAAGCACGUGUUGACCAGCUGUCAGUCUCAGGAAAGAAGUAAUACAGUCUCGAACAGGAGUCAGAGUUAUAUUGUAUUAGAGGGGGCAGACAUGGGUAUCUAUAAGCUCGAUAAGAAAGGAGUGGUUAAGAGGAAAAGAGAAAAGGCAGCAGCUGUCGCAGAUUCAGACGAAGAGGAGCAGGAGGAUUUUUUGGUUGAUAGAAACUAUAAGAAACGUAGUAAGGUGGUUGUUUUGGGCGGAUAUGAAGAACCUGAACAAUCGUCUUAGUUAAAUGUCACUUUAAAAAAAUUGCACUUUCUUUAGUUACCAUGGAUGUAAAAUGUAGUGUAUUAAAAUUAAAUAUUAUCGAGUAUCAUUAUUAUGGUGUAUAUAUUAUAGCAUACAAAAGUAAAGCUUAAAAAUUAAAUAUUUCUCAAAGAGAAACAGA
Molecule: long non-coding RNA, 623 nt
Organism: Sitophilus oryzae (rice weevil)
Lineage: Eukaryota; Metazoa; Arthropoda; Insecta; Coleoptera; Curculionidae
Exons: 2
Source: RefSeq, a predicted model, not a curated record